CAAAUUACCAGGAUUUUAAAUGCGUAAACUAUGCUUAGAUUCUUUUGUUUUUGUAUUUACCAGAGACUUCACAUGAUACGGUUUCUUCUUUACUGUCUUUCAUGUCGCGACCAUU
Alosa sapidissima (American shad) is the source of this 115-nucleotide long non-coding RNA. RefSeq lists it as uncharacterized. The transcript is spliced from 3 exons. NCBI's taxonomy places the organism in Eukaryota, Metazoa, Chordata, Actinopteri, Clupeiformes, Clupeidae. The record is from RefSeq and is a predicted model, not a curated record.